GGGAAUGUAUUUUGUGUCAUCAGUUUUGUUAAUUAGAAUGAAUAUGCCAAUAGAAUAUAGGUAAGAAUUUCUGUUAAAAAAAAAAUCAGAAAAUGAAAGUAAAAAAAUGAUUCAAGUUAUAAAAAAAGGAUUUAACAUCUGACAGUUGAAGAGCAUAAAGACAUUGAACUUUUUUUUGUUGCCAAUUUACUACUUAAUUCGUUGGUACACUAUAAGAGUUAUUCAAGUUGCUUAAGAUAUUUUCACCACCUUAUAACAUUUAAAGCAUUGUUAAGCAUCAUUAUAUUUCGUUAUUUUACCUAUAGAUGGCAAUUUGUUGUUUCUUUACUCUAUAUGUACAUGCUUAAAGUUUGAAAUUAAGGACUACAGGUAAAAAUAAUUGCUAUUUUAAAUUUAAUUUCAGAACAAUUAUAACAGAGGUAUUAGGAGAUUUACAGUUUAAUUUUUAUCACCGAUGGUUUGAUGUGAUAUUCCUGGUCAGUGCCUUGUCCAGUAUUGGAUUUCUAUAUAUAGCACAUAAACAAUCUCCGGAGAAGAACAUGAUAUAAUGAGAAUCAACAGACAAUAUUUAUUUUUAUUUUAGAUUUAUUAUGUACUUUUGUUUAAAAGUUAAUUGUUGAUGAAUAUAUAAAAAAACAUGUAACAAAAUUUGUUCAGAUAUUUUAUUCUAACAUCUAAAUACAUUGCACAAGAUGUUAAUUGAGGGUACCUGCAGUUG
RNAcentral lists this long non-coding RNA (718 nucleotides) under Mytilus galloprovincialis (Mediterranean mussel). The record is from RNAcentral. Lineage: Eukaryota; Metazoa; Mollusca; Bivalvia; Mytilida; Mytilidae.